CAGAGUAGAGCCCGCUUCGUUAAGUGCCGCCAAAAUGGGGAGUUGUCUGGCGGACGAAGGCGCAUGCCGCGGUUGCGGGCUCGCACCCGCUG
This 92-nucleotide non-coding RNA is filed under the name bovine gut metagenome. Its description in RNAcentral is "THF riboswitch". It matches the Rfam family "THF (Tetrahydrofolate) riboswitch aptamer". Rfam says of the family: THF riboswitch presents a pseudoknot that joins P1-P2 and the loop of P3 and two THF binding. The record is from RNAcentral.